This 1210-nucleotide ribosomal RNA is filed under the name Escherichia coli. RNAcentral describes it as "partial 23S ribosomal RNA". It matches the Rfam family "Bacterial large subunit ribosomal RNA", at positions 1 to 1251 of the family's 2925-position model. The record is from RNAcentral. Lineage: Bacteria; Pseudomonadati; Pseudomonadota; Gammaproteobacteria; Enterobacterales; Enterobacteriaceae.
GGUUAAGCGACUAAGCGUACACGGUGGAUGCCCUGGCAGUCAGAGGCGAUGAAGGACGUGCUAAUCUGCGAUAAGCGUCGGUAAGGUGAUAUGAACCGUUAUAACCGGCGAUUUCCGAAUGGGGAAACCCAGUGUGUUUCGACACACUAUCAUUAACUGAAUCCAUAGGUUAAUGAGGCGAACCGGGGGAACUGAAACAUCUAAGUACCCUGAGGAAAAGAAAUCAACCGAGAUUCCCCCAGUAGCGGCGAGCGAACGGGGAGCAGCCCAGAGCCUGAAUCAGUAUGUGUGUUAGUGGAAGCGUCUGGAAAGGCGCGCGAUACAGGGUGACAGCCCCGUACACAAAAAUGCACAUGCUGUGAGCUCGAUGAGUAGGGCGGGACACGUGGUAUCCUGUCUGAAUAUGGGGGGACCAUCCUCCAAGGCUAAAUACUCCUGACUGACCGAUAGUGAACCAGUACCGUGAGGGAAAGGCGAAAAGAACCCCGGCGAGGGGAGUGAAAAAGAACCUGAAACCGUGUACGUACAAGCAGUGGGAGCACGCUUAGGCGUGUGACUGCGUACCUUUUGUAUAAUGGGUCAGCGACUUAUAUUCUGUAGCAAGGUUAACCGAAUAGGGGAGCCGAAGGGAAACCGAGUCUUAACUGGGCGUUAAGUUGCAGGGUAUAGACCCGAAACCCGGUGAUCUAGCCAUGGGCAGGUUGAAGGUUGGGUAACACUAACUGGAGGACCGAACCGACUAAUGUUGAAAAAUUAGCGGAUGACUUGUGGCUGGGGGUGAAAGGCCAAUCAAACCGGGAGAUAGCUGGUUCUCCCCGAAAGCUAUUUAGGUAGCGCCUCGUGAAUUCAUCUCCGGGGGUAGAGCACUGUUUCGGCAAGGGGGUCAUCCCGACUUACCAACCCGAUGCAAACUGCGAAUACCGGAGAAUGUUAUCACGGGAGACACACGGCGGGUGCUAACGUCCGUCGUGAAGAGGGAAACAACCCAGACCGCCAGCUAAGGUCCCAAAGUCAUGGUUAAGUGGGAAACGAUGUGGGAAGGCCCAGACAGCCAGGAUGUUGGCUUAGAAGCAGCCAUCAUUUAAAGAAAGCGUAAUAGCUCACUGGUCGAGUCGGCCUGCGCGGAAGAUGUAACGGGGCUAAACCAUGCACCGAAGCUGCGGCAGCGACGCUGAUGCGUUGUUGGGUAGGGGAGCGUUCUGUAAGCCUG